This 74-nucleotide small nucleolar RNA is filed under the name Vombatus ursinus (common wombat). RNAcentral describes it as "Small nucleolar RNA SNORD34 (ENSVURG00010013578.1)". It matches the Rfam family "Small nucleolar RNA SNORD34". From Rfam's summary of the family: snoRNA U34 is found in intron 5 of the ribosomal protein L13a gene in humans. U34 is a member of the C/D class of snoRNA which contain C (UGAUGA) and D (CUGA) box motifs, and functions in directing site-specific 2'-O-methylation of 25S rRNAs. The record is from Rfam by way of RNAcentral. Lineage: Eukaryota; Metazoa; Chordata; Mammalia; Diprotodontia; Vombatidae.
UGGCGUCAGUGAUGUCUCCUUUACCUACAUUGUUUGAUAUCUACUUGAGAAAAGCUUUGUUAUCUGAGACGCCU